This is a long non-coding RNA of Podarcis raffonei (Aeolian wall lizard), 193 nucleotides long. RefSeq lists it as uncharacterized. NCBI's taxonomy places the organism in Eukaryota, Metazoa, Chordata, Lepidosauria, Squamata, Lacertidae. The transcript has 3 exons. The record is from RefSeq and is a predicted model, not a curated record.
AAACAUUUACACAUGUGGAAGCUACUGCUGCAGGAAAUAGAAUCACUGCUGAAGCUGUACAUCUUUGUGAUGGUGCCCUUACAGGAAUGCAAGGCAAGAAGACUACACGGAAUGGAAAAGGCAACAGAAGGAUGCAGAGGAUACUGGAAAAGUAGAGCUGAGCAACCAUCAUUGCUUCUGGAACGCACAGUCA